AGUGAACGCUGGCGGUAGGCCUAACACAUGCAAGUCGAACGGCCGCACAGUAAGAGCUUGCUCUUACGGGUGGCGAGUGGCGGACGGGUGAGGCAUACAUCGGAAUCUACUUUUUCGUGGGGGAUAACGUAGGGAAACUUACGCUAAUACCGCAUACGACCUACGGGUGAAAGCAGGGGAUCUUCGGACCUUGCGCGAUUGAAUGAGCCGAUGUCGGAUUAGCUAGUUGGCGGGGUAAAGGCCCACCAAGGCGACGAUCCGUAGCUGGUCUGAGAGGAUGAUCAGCCACACUGGAACUGAGACACGGUCCAGACUCCUACGGGAGGCAGCAGUGGGGAAUAUUGGACAAUGGGCGCAAGCCUGAUCCAGCCAUACCGCGUGAGUGAAGAAGGCCUUCGGGUUGUAAAGCCCUGUUGUUGGGAAAGAAAAGCAGCAGGUUAAUACCCCGCUGUUCUGACGGUACCCAAAGAAUAAGCACCGGCUAACUUCGUG
This 492-nucleotide ribosomal RNA is filed under the name uncultured bacterium. Its description in RNAcentral is "partial 16S ribosomal RNA". It matches the Rfam family "Bacterial small subunit ribosomal RNA", at positions 29 to 507 of the family's 1533-position model. The record is from RNAcentral.